Chionomys nivalis (European snow vole) is the source of this 144-nucleotide small nucleolar RNA. RefSeq annotates it as small nucleolar RNA SNORA79. The transcript has a single exon. NCBI's taxonomy places the organism in Eukaryota, Metazoa, Chordata, Mammalia, Rodentia, Cricetidae. The record is from RefSeq and is a predicted model, not a curated record.
UGAUGGCCGUUCCUCCUGUUGUCUUUAGGUAUGGCACUAGGAUUUUAGGUCAUCAUACAUUAACAUUGAUUUUUUUUCACUCAGAGAAAAUUAAGAUAUUGGGAUUAUCUGUGUUUUCUCUGAAAUUUGCGGGAUCAAACAAUC